Molecule: ribosomal RNA, 472 nt
Filed under: uncultured bacterium
Lineage: Bacteria
Description: bacterial SSU rRNA
Rfam family: Bacterial small subunit ribosomal RNA
Source: RNAcentral
ACUCCUACGGGAGGCAGCAGUGGGGAAUAUUGCACAAUGGGGAAACCCUGAUGCAGCCAUGCCGCGUGUGUGAAGAAGGCCUUCGGUUGUAAAGCACUUUCAGUAGGGAGGAAGGUAGUGUAGUUAACACCUGCACUAUUUGACGUUACCUACAGAAGAAGCACCGGCUAACUCCGUGCCAGCAGCCGCGGUAAUACGGAGGGGUGCGAGCGUUAAUCGGAAUUACUGGGCGUAAAGCGCAUGCAGGCGGCCUGUUAAGUCAGAUGUGAAAGCCCGGGGGCUUAACCUCGGAAUUGCAUUUGAAACUGGCAGGCUAGAGUCUUGUAGAGGGGGUAGAAUUUCAGGUGUAGCGGUGAAAUGCGUAGAGAUCUGAAGGAAUACCGGUGGCGAAGGCGGCCCCCUGGACAGAUACUGACACUCAGAUGCGAAAGCGUGGGGAGCAAACAGGAUUAGAUACCCUGGUAGGAUAGCG